Ictalurus punctatus (channel catfish) is the source of this 1144-nucleotide long non-coding RNA. The record is from Ensembl. NCBI's taxonomy places the organism in Eukaryota, Metazoa, Chordata, Actinopteri, Siluriformes, Ictaluridae.
GUGUCGGAAGCAUUAGCAGCAAGAAAACAUGUCAACAGAAUAAAAUAUUAACCAAUGACAGAAAAGCAGGGGAACUCCCUCCCACACGUCGGAGCCGGGCGGGUCAGCGCUCAUUCCUCAGCCGCUGCACGGACACACCAAGUCGAUUAGCUUCUCGCUUUAUAAUCACGACGAGACGAUGCCAGCCUUGUCAGAGCCACCAAAUUCACUUCCGAUGCACCGGAGUCCAGGAAUUACGAUUACUGAGGUUAAUUGAUGCGCUCUCUAGUAUUCAACCUAAUCAAUAAAAUGGGUGCUAAAUACUAAAAUAACGCGACUCUAGUGAUUGACUAACAUGUAGCCUACUGCUUCCAUCGGAGGAAAGCACAUUUCCCAUCGGGCGCACGUGUUUACAAACAUGUACAAUUAUUUGGGCGUUAGAGCUAAACUAAUCUAGUCUGUUUGCGAUCCCAAAACAAGACCAAUAAAAUGCUACAGAAUAAAAAAAAAAACCCAGCUUGAUCCGUAGGCUAUUAAUUGAUGUAGUCGCACAGGUAAAAUAGGAAACGACCCGUUUGAUGUGUUUAUUAUUAUAAUAUCUAUUUGAUCUCAUCACUAACCUGGCGAGAGAGGAGGCGACUUAUAAAGCGGACACUGGCACUUUAAAUGCAGCCCGGGUCACUGGAAAACACAAGCCUUUAUGCAAUACAAAGACAAGACGAACGGAAGGAAUAUGAAGACAGUGUAAAGAUAAGUUUGUCGUUGGAUUUGGCGGCAGUGCAGUGAUCUGUUCAUUAGGGCCUGUAAGCGCUCCUUUCUGCUGAAGUGUUUAUAGGCUAAAGGGAGCCGCUGACUCGCCCUGAUCAAUAGUCUAUGUUUGAUCUGUGGGCUUUAAACUGCGACACAUGACGAUUUCAAGUGGAAGGAGAUUAAGCACACAUGGGAACGGGCCUCGAUCCACACUCACACAUCCAACACGACGAGAAUGUAAUCAAGCGCUGAGCCAUUAUCACACAUGACUUCAGAGUUGUUCAUGCUGGAAACUUUGCAGAUCCGCUGCUAACAGUCGAAUCCGCGCCGUUAGAGACACCAUUAUAUGUCUGAAUUACGGGCUGAAGUAGCGGUAAAUAAGAGGUGGAAUGACGAGGUGGAAAGGCUGGAAAAG